GGGAUACUUGGCCGCCGUAUGCGAACACAAUGCCCGAGAACCGGCGAUACGGUCUGGUGAUAACAAACCAGAGUUCGGACGCGGACGGUGUGGACACCGUUGCCCUAAUUGUGAACGCCAACCGACGCCGAUGCGUAGAAUGCCGCGCUGUUCUUCUUACUUAUAACGGGGAUUUCAUCUGGCGCUGCUGUUUGCCACUUCAUACCUCAACCUUAGCUAACAUGGUGCAUACAUGGUACAUACAUACUUUUUAAUACUGUGGGCCUUACGAGUAUCUAUCCGCAGACGUUCGACUCCAGCAUGCUAGUGGUCUGCGAGGAUGAGGAAACCGCCCAAUGGGUCAUGUCAGCCGUCCAUGGUAUGUGCCCGCCGCACUCCUGCCAGCCCUUAAUCGAGUUCUUCGGCUUCCUGAGGACGUGAGGAGUCGCAGAACCCGGGCCUAAACACCGACAAGUGGGCCGUGGUCAAUCGCUCCACCCUAGACUGCAAUGAUGUGGAGCGGCAGGUCCCUCAGUUCUGCGACAACAUCGUGAUAGAGCUGUAUGUCAAUG
Molecule: unclassified non-coding RNA, 551 nt
Filed under: Drosophila yakuba
Lineage: Eukaryota; Metazoa; Arthropoda; Insecta; Diptera; Drosophilidae
Description: GE27583
Source: RNAcentral